GCCCUGCUCUAGAGACAAUGCAGCUCAAGGAGUCAAAUGGUGUUUGGAGUGUUACUUGACCAAGAGAGUGGGAAAACCGAUACUAUUUAUAUGAAGUUGACGUGUAUCAUCCAACUAAGGCACAAAUUCUGAAAUGUUUAGCUGGUGACCUUUAUGCUAGAGGGUAUGUGGCUGUGCGUAUUUCAGUUAUGUAGUUCAGGGAGAGGAACUUUCAGCAGAAGAAAAAAGUUCAGGGAGAGGAAGAAACUAGCUUGUUGUUUAUUUGAUCAGCCUUUCUGCAAAUGGAGCGCGGACCUGGUUGGUUGACAUUAACAAUGAAACAUUGAAGCCAGCUUCCUGGGAUGAAUUGGCCGAUGAGAAGCCAAAACUUGAUUCCUGCUCUGACAUAACCAUCUACGAAUUGCACAUUCGUGAUUUUAGUGCCCAUGAUGGCACAGUGGACAUUGACUCUCGUGGAGGAUUUCGUGCAUUUGCAUACUAGGCCUCAGCAGGAAUGUUUGACUCAUGUGCAUUUGUUGCCAAGCUUUCAUUUUGCUGGCGUUGACGACAUUAAGAGCAACUGGAAAUUUUUCGAUGAGUGUGAACUAGCAACAUUCCCUCCAGGAUCAGAUAUGCAACAAGCAGCAGUAGUAGCUAUUCAGGAAGAGGACCCUUUUAAUUGGGGGUAUUCAUUUCACACUUCUUUUUCCCUCAAACAUUCCAGAUACUAAUGUAUCAUGGUGGUGUUAAUAUCGGAAAGUUAAUUAUGUUCUUGCGAGUAAAAUAUUCUUACAUAUGGUCAUAUUUAUGCUAAAGGUAUGACUCUGUGCUUUGGAAGGUUCCAAAAGGAAGCUAUGCAAGUGAUUUUAUCAGGAAAGAGAUGCAAACGAAAGGAAGAGAGCCUCCCCCAAGCUCUGUCUAGGCGAUGCACGGGCGACGGCCACCCUUCCUGUUAUUGCCUCCAUGGCUGACUACUCAUCCCCAGUAACCGCCCCCCCCCCCCCCCCUCACGUGCGCCACACUCUGGGAUUAAGGUCUGCUCCUUGGCUAGCAUUUGCGCUGACCGAUUCUCUGAUUUCUCUCCACCGAAGAAUCAAAGAAACAAGCAAGCUGAUGUCUAACAUAUUUGUUUCGUAAUAGUUGGAACUGGAAGAGGAAGCUCCAGUACAAUUCAGAUCUCUGCUCAAACCCUCAAUAUCUCAUGCAUACAUAACUGCUUAUUGUGUGAAUAUUAGACGUUACUUGUGCAUCAUCUUCACCCUUUCCUAAUUCAAUAUCUGUAAAAGUAGGCAAAGCUUCCUGUUAUUAUGUGCUAUAAUAUUUUUGAAUUGCUGUCUAGAAAAUACUUGGUCAGUUCUUCCGUAAGAAAGCUGAAGUUGGAUAUUAGGUGCUUUAACAAAGCUACUCCCUCCGUUCACUUUUAUAAGUCAUUUCAGACAACUCAAAAUGAACUACUUUGCACAUUGUCUGAAAUGUCUUCAAGGCCUUAUAAAAGUGAACAGAGGGAGUAAUUCUUUUAAGCAAUUACAUUACCAUUGUUAGAUAUAUUAUUCAGAGCUCACUAAAGUAGAAAGGUUCUGAUGCUUUGACGGUACAGUUUCCUGAGCAUGCUUCAACAUCAUUUGUUUCUGCAUAUCGUUAAUCGUGGGCUUUUCAUGAUUUUUUUUCUGUUUUUAAAGAUUGUCAAAGUACAUGCUGCAAGAUACUGUUGAGUUAAUUAAUUUCCUCGAGUUAAACAAAAAUAUGGAAACUGUCAAGGAGAUGUCGAAUGAUGAAUAUAUUCAGAUACUAAGAGAGGUUCUAAAAUGUGUUUUGGCAGAGUGCUAGCACGCUACAUUGGAGAGAAAGUGUUGAGAGAAUGCUUUGUUGGGAUGAUAGACAUGAAUAAUCAAUCCUGAAUCAUCAUUCCAAGGUUAGAUUUGUACUUCCUGCCCAGUUCUUUUUCACAAAGGACCAAGCCUCUUACUUUAUCCAUUUCUUAAUUUUGUUCCUUCACAGAAAAACAUUUUCUCAUUUCAAUCUUUCUCCAUUUGGUAUGAGUAUGACACACGCUCUGAAUUUUUUGACUAUUCUUGGUUGAUUAAUGGUUGGUGUAUUGCCUUCCACUUUGGAUUAUUCUAAAUCUUCUUGCUUAGGCUAUGUGUACCAUUCUGUCAUGUGCCACCAUUGAUCUGAGCAAAAAUCAGUGUAGAUGAACCGAGCUAUUUUAUUAUAAGCUGUGUACAGAACUUCCAGGAAAGAUAACCAUGUAGUUAUUGUUUUAUGCCGUAUAUAUUCAGAUAGGUGAAUUAUCGCAAGUUAGUCCCGGUAUGUUAAUAGGAUUGUGCCAACCUAGAGCCUUUUCAGAUGGUGCCAACUCUGUUUGGGGUUUCCUUCUACCUAAUCAAGGCUUAGCCCAGUUUGUCUUGUCCUUAUCUCCUUUUCUGUCAUAAAUUCUUCAUCUAUUCAAGAAGCUCAUUUUUGUUAGUUGGAACAACUGAAAAAAUCAUACUCCCCCCGUUCCUGUAUAUAAAGUCUAAUUGUUUUUUCAAAAGUCAAACGAGUGCAUGUUUGACCAAGUUUUUAGAAAAUAUAUUGAUAUCCACUAUACCAAAUUUAUAUCAUUCGAUCCGUCAUGAAAAGUAGUUUUAUAUUUUAUCUACUAGGUUUUUCAGAUGUUGAUAUUUUAUUCUAUAAUCUUGGUCAAACAUUCGAAUGGUUGACUUGGAGGAUAUCAAUACACCUUAUUUUCUGGAAUGGAGGGAGUAUCAUUCUUGGUGUGAUGGACAAAUAGAAAGAAAGGUCCGCAAAGAGUGCACUCACAAAAGCCAUGUACUGUAGGCCAUGAGUGAUUACCUUGAAAGCUUUCUCAUCGAGGCCAUAGUUCCAAACUAUACCAUCCUUUAAGAAACAUUCAAUCAGAAUUGGAGGAAAUGCCAUCCAUUGGGGUUCUGAAGUUCUGAACUUUGAUCUCUCUAUUUGAAUCGUUGUUAUUAUUUUGUCUGUAGGCCAUGAGCAAAUAAUCUGGAGAGUGCCUAAUGUUCCUCAACUUUUCUUAUGUUCCAAAUUCACUAUAGUGUUGAUCAUCUUCAAAGAACAGAAAACGUAUGACAGGAUUAAGAUUGUAAUUUGUGCUCAUAUUUUUUUUCCAAAAUUCACUGCUUGAUUAAUUUUGUUGUAGAAGCUUGAGAGAAAAAGAUAGUAAAUACAUAGUAACUUUAUAUUGAUUUAAGAGUAAUAGCAACACACCUGCUUUUAACUAUAUAUAAAUAUCUCUAUAUUGUUCUAUACUAUCCGUUAGCAAGCGAGCGUUUGAAUUGCUGUUGAUGUGCAUUGUACCUGGGCUUGGCCACUUGGAUCGUGAGACAAGAUCGAUCGACUAGAUGCUUGUUUAUUUGUGUUGUUCUUAAUUUAACUUUGUGGAAGGCUGCGAGCCGAAUGCGUCAUCGACGAGGAGGUGAGUUUGGAUUUGGACGGUGAAGAUGAGAAGAUAGUUGGGAAGGAAGAAGGUAUAAAAUCAACAAUAUCGUCUGGUGUGCGUGAGGAUCCUAAUGGUACAUGUUUGACGUGAUCGUUGCUAACCUAAUAAGAUAUGCGGUGGCACGAGGUGGUGGCAUAAAUGGGGUGGUUGUGCUGCAUGUCCAAGGCUGCACUAGGGAGGCGCGAGCGGUGCCUCCCGCAAGAUUCCAUUGGGGCGACGCAUGGGCGGCAGCCACCCCCAAGACCCUGUUAGCACAAUUUCAUAAUAAUAUACUUAUACUGAUUGUUGUGCAAAAUAGAACGCUAUUGUUUGUAGUUAUAUUAGUUUAUUUCCUCUAUAUACAAUGACAUGUCUUAUUGUGUGUCCAAGAGGAAGGAAAAAUAUAUGUUUCUAGGUGUUAAGUGACUUACCUUUAAAAGGAAUAACUCUAAUAAGAAGUCCUGUUUUAGAUGCCGAGUUGAUGAAAUUUGUUACCUAAGAUAUAUGCGGUAAUUUGAUAUGAACCCAAA
Aegilops tauschii subsp. strangulata is the source of this 3948-nucleotide non-coding RNA. The record is from RefSeq and is a predicted model, not a curated record. NCBI's taxonomy places the organism in Eukaryota, Viridiplantae, Streptophyta, Magnoliopsida, Poales, Poaceae.